GGCAGGCUACUCUCUGGAAUGCAGGUUUUAUGACCUACAAUCAAACAAUGCCUAAAGUUUCUCACUCAUUAACCUGGAGCAACAAAAUGGAAAGAAUUCUGAUUUCAAAGCAGAGAACCUAUCGCUUUGCUGGCUCUGAGGAUGAUUGACUCUGUUGUGUGGGCGAGGUCUGUGCAGAAGCCGGCUCUGCUCUCUCCACUGAGUCUUGCUCUUGUCACCCAGGCUGGAGUACAGUGAUGCAGUCUUGGCUCACUGCAACCUCCACCUCCCGGGUUCAAGCAAUUCUCCUACCUCAGCCUC
Callithrix jacchus (white-tufted-ear marmoset) is the source of this 300-nucleotide non-coding RNA. The record is from RefSeq and is a predicted model, not a curated record. Lineage: Eukaryota; Metazoa; Chordata; Mammalia; Primates; Cebidae.